RNAcentral lists this ribosomal RNA (292 nucleotides) under uncultured bacterium. RNAcentral describes it as "partial 16S ribosomal RNA". RNAcentral also lists the same sequence under 1 other name. The record is from RNAcentral.
GGACUACAAGGGUUUCUAAUCCUGUUUGCUCCCCACGCUUUCGUGCCUGAACGUCGGCGCUGGACCAGGAAGCCGCUUUCGCCACUGAUGUUCCUUCCGAUAUCUACGCAUUUCACCGCUACACCGGAAAUUCCGCUUCCCUCUUCCGCACCCUAGCUCCGCAGUCUCGAAUGCAAUUCCCAGGUUGAGCCCGGGGCUUUCACACCCGACUUACGAAACCGUCUACGCACGCUUUACGCCCAGUAAUUCCGAUUAACGCUUGCACCCUCUGUAUUACCGCGGCUGCUGGCAC